CGCCGGUUGUUUAAAACCUAAUGGUGAUAAGGUUGCUGCGAUGACUAUUUCUAUAGUAAUGCUUGAGGUGUAUUCUCAAUUGCCUUUUGUAGCUGCUGCAUAGGAGUCCAAUUAUCACCGUCAAAAACUCUAAAAAAUCUGAAUGCAACUGAAAACAUUCAGUUGUGCCCAUCUAGUGUUGCAGCUAAAGAUAAGUUGCCACUCCAUCUACCAUUGAGAGUUGUGGAGCUUAUACUCAGAAAUCCCCUACAACCAUUCAUGAAACGAUCAAUGCUUGGUUACUUCAAACAACAAACGAAUCUAUGGAAAUAUACACCAUCUUCCUGAUUUAAGACAUCUAUCUCUAUAAUACUUCCUGGUAUUCUGAACUCAACCUCUGCCUUAAAGUUAAACAAAUAUCUAAAACUUGUUUCCCAUGUACUAGAUAUGUGUUAUGUUGCCUUCUCCCUACCAAGAUGCGCCGUUAAAUACUCAAUUUUCACUUGACAAUUCUGCCUACCAAGACACGCAUGAUAAAUUCUGCCCACAUGUUGAUGUCAAAUCAUUUGCUCGCAACUCUCUUUGCCUGGUUGAAAAUCUCAGGUUUUUAGCAACCAUUGUUUUUAGUUCAUUCGAUCUUAACUGCAUCAACACCUAACCCCGUACAGUAAAACACAAGUCAUAAAUAAGCAGCCCCUUCUUAUGUACCUGGCUCCAACCCUGGGCACUAGGGACCAGCAUCCUAUCAAAUCCUUACACUUCUCUUAAGGGCCUGUUUAGAUUUGGGAUGGAAAUUUUUUGGCUGUCACAUCAGAUGUGCCGGAAGGAUAUCGGGAGAGGUUUUUAGAAACUAAUAAAAAAAUAAAUUACAUAGCUCGUCAGGAAACUGCAAGACAAAUUUAUUAAGCAUAAUUAAUCUGUCAUUAGCAUAUGUGGGUUACUGUAGCACUUAAAGCUAAUCAUGGAGUAACUAGGCUUAAAAGAUUCAUCUCGUGAUUCUCAACUAAACUGUGUAAUUAGUUUAUUUUUUUAUCAACAUUUAAUGUUCCAUGCAUGUGUCCAAAGAUUCGAUGGGAUGGAUGAAAAAUUUUUAGAUGGGGAACUAAACAGGGCCUAAACCCACUACAAAUGCUCCAAAGAAACAAAGCUAACAAUGAUGGUAUGCGUGACGCGAGCAUCAAAAUUUUGAUAAGAAAGGUUCUGGAACGAAGCACACACAAUAUACAAUAAGUUGUGAAGUGGCAAUUGCAGUCGAAGGAAGCUUCCUACCCAAAAGGGAAACGAACAGUUAGAAAAUAGUCACGAGUCACGACGUGGUGUACUGGUGCAUGACCUCACCAGACUAAGAAUAAUAUAUGUUUCUCAGAAGCUUGAGCCUGCCUGAAUGGCGACCUACCAGAAACGAACCAACAUUUCAAAUUUCAAAUAGCAAGGACAAUGAGAGCCACAUUAUAUAAUACAAGUAUAGAACUAAACGCUGGUAUUAAAAAACGAAUGCAAGAAGAGAGGAGAAGAACGUAUAGGCUACAAACAAAAGCAAUAAAGAAAAUCGGAGCCCAUUGCUUAUCUUCUGCUCAGCGGCUCCAUUAAUUAAUUAAAUAACCUGAUGCUACGACCUUCUAAACAACAGGGCCUUUGCAUAAUAAACUACACUGAGUAAGGGAGAAGGGGUGCAUGAAAUGAAGUGCUCUGAGUCUCUGACCCAGCACAAGCGAGGCUCGUGGAGGGGCGCCCGGGGCACGGGCACACCACGCACCGGGCGCGUCUGCAGCGGUGGCUGCCAGGCGCCGAGCAGCCGCGGCAGGCGGGGGCUUGCUUCUUUGAAAUGGACGGUCAGGGGAGGAGCCACUUGGCAGGCAGCCGCCUUCCUAUUGUAUUUCAAAAAUGGUAGUAGAUCAGACAGGCUUAGUUGGUACUCCCUCUAUACAAAAAAAAAAACCCUGAUGUUUUGGACUCCUAUACAGUUCUUACAAAACUUGAUGUUCUACUAAGGCCUUGUUUAGUUCAAAAAAAAUUACAAAAUUUUUUAGAUUCUCUAUC
Molecule: long non-coding RNA, 2019 nt
Filed under: Sorghum bicolor (sorghum)
Lineage: Eukaryota; Viridiplantae; Streptophyta; Magnoliopsida; Poales; Poaceae
Description: long non-coding RNA (SBIC_LNC010827)
Source: RNAcentral